GACGAACGCUGGCGGUGUGCCUAAUACAUGCCAGUUGAGCGCUGAAGGUUGGUACUUGUACCAACUGGAUGAGCAGCGAACGGGUGAGUAACGCGUGGGGAAUCUGCCUUUGAGCGGGGGACAACAUUUGGAAACGAAUGCUAAUACCGCAUAAAAACUUUAAACACAAGUUUUAAGUUUGAAAGAUGCAAUUGCAUCACUCAAAGAUGAUCCCGCGUUGUAUUAGCUAGCUGGUGAGGUAAAGGCUCACCAAGGCGAUGAUACAUAGCCGACCUGAGAGGGUGAUCGGCCACAUUGGGACUGAGACACGGCCCAAACUCCUACGGGAGGCAGCAGUAGGGAAUCUUCGGCAAUGGACGAAAGUCUGACCGAGCAACGCCGCGUGAGUGAAGAAGGUUUUCGGAUCGUAAAACUCUGUUGGUAGAGAAGAACGUUGGUGAGAGUGGAAAGCUCAUCAAGUGACGGUAACUACCCAGAAAGGGACGGCUAACUACGUG
Molecule: ribosomal RNA, 497 nt
Filed under: uncultured bacterium
Lineage: Bacteria
Description: partial 16S ribosomal RNA
Rfam family: Bacterial small subunit ribosomal RNA
Source: RNAcentral